GUAGGGGAGCGAGCGUUAUCCGGAAUUAUUGGGCGUAAAGAGUGCGUAGGGCGGUUUAUUAAGUCUGAUGUGAAAUCCCCCGGGCUCAACCGGGGAGGGUCAUUGGAAACUGGUAAACUUGAGUACAGUAGAGGCAAGUGGAAUUCCAUGUGUAGCGGUAAAAUGCGUAGAUAUAUGGAGGAACACCAGUGGCGAAGGCGGCUUGCUGGGCUGGAACUGACGCUGAGGCACGAAAGCGUGGGGAGCAAACAGGAUUAGAUACCCUGGUAGUCCACGCCGUAAACGAUGGGUACUAAGUGUUGGUAGAGAUAUCAGUGCUGUAGUUAACGCAUUAAGUACCCCGCCUGGGGAGUACGGUCGCAAAGACUGA
This 370-nucleotide ribosomal RNA is filed under the name uncultured organism. RNAcentral describes it as "partial 16S ribosomal RNA". It matches the Rfam family "Bacterial small subunit ribosomal RNA", at positions 526 to 897 of the family's 1533-position model. The record is from RNAcentral.